This 252-nucleotide unclassified non-coding RNA is filed under the name Hevea brasiliensis (rubber tree). Lineage: Eukaryota; Viridiplantae; Streptophyta; Magnoliopsida; Malpighiales; Euphorbiaceae. The record is from RNAcentral.
GCCAAAACUAGCUGUGGAUUGUAGAAAUAUCAAUUCAAGUGGAUCUGAUAGAGAAAAGGUGUUUCGUUCAACGUUAACGAGUCGGUCUUGUUCUGAGAUUGAUUCAGUUCCAACAGCUGAAACAAGGAAACAGCGUUGCUCGGGAGCAGAAGCUGUUAACUUGCUGGAACCUCUGGUCAAGAAACCUCCCAUGUCAAACAAGAGUGGGAGUACAGUACAACAACAAUCAGCGAAAAAGUGCAGAUUAAUGGU